Molecule: transfer RNA, 72 nt
Filed under: Candidatus Gottesmanbacteria bacterium
Lineage: Bacteria; Candidatus Gottesmaniibacteriota
Description: tRNA-Arg
Rfam family: tRNA
About the family: Transfer RNA (tRNA) molecules are approximately 80 nucleotides in length. Their secondary structure includes four short double-helical elements and three loops (D, anti-codon, and T loops).
Source: RNAcentral
GCCUCUGUAGCUUAAUGGAUAAAGCAGCGGUCUUCGGAACCGCAGAUGGGGGUUCGAUUCCCUUCAGAGGCG